RNAcentral lists this ribosomal RNA (445 nucleotides) under Micrococcus sp. RNAcentral describes it as "bacterial SSU rRNA". It matches the Rfam family "Bacterial small subunit ribosomal RNA", at positions 340 to 797 of the family's 1533-position model. The record is from RNAcentral. Lineage: Bacteria; Bacillati; Actinomycetota; Actinomycetes; Micrococcales; Micrococcaceae.
UACGGGAGGCAGCAGUGGGGAAUAUUGCACAAUGGGCGCAAGCCUGAUGCAGCGACGCCGCGUGAGGGAUGACGGCCUUCGGGUUGUAAACCUCUUUCAGUAGGGAAGAAGCGAAAGUGACGGUACCUGCAGAAGAAGCACCGGCUAACUACGUGCCAGCAGCCGCGGUAAUACGUAGGGUGCGAGCGUUAUCCGGAAUUAUUGGGCGUAAAGAGCUCGUAGGCGGUUUGUCGCGUCUGUCGUGAAAGUCCGGGGCUUAACCCCGGAUCUGCGGUGGGUACGGGCAGACUAGAGUGCAGUAGGGGAGACUGGAAUUCCUGGUGUAGCGGUGGAAUGCGCAGAUAUCAGGAGGAACACCGAUGGCGAAGGCAGGUCUCUGGGCUGUAACUGACGCUGAGGAGCGAAAGCAUGGGGAGCGAACAGGAUUAGAUACCCUGGUAGUCCA